UGGGGAAUAUUGCACAAUGGGGGAAACCCUGAUGCAGCGACGCCGCGUGAAGGAAGAAGUAUCUCGGUAUGUAAACUUCUAUCAGCAGGGAAGAAAAUGACGGUACCUGACUAAGAAGCCCCGGCUAACUACGUGCCAGCAGCCGCGGUAAUACGUAGGGGGCAAGCGUUAUCCGGAUUUACUGGGUGUAAAGGGAGCGUAGACGGAUGGACAAGUCUGAUGUGAAAGGCUGGGGCUCAACCCCGGGACUGCAUUGGAAACUGCCCGUCUUGAGUGCCGGAGAGGUAAGCGGAAUUCCUAGUGUAGCGGUGAAAUGCGUAGAUAUUAGGAGGAACACCAGUGGCGAAGGC
This 350-nucleotide ribosomal RNA is filed under the name uncultured bacterium. Its description in RNAcentral is "bacterial SSU rRNA". It matches the Rfam family "Bacterial small subunit ribosomal RNA", at positions 355 to 722 of the family's 1533-position model. The record is from RNAcentral.